UUUACACAUGGCAACAUGCACAAAAUAUUAAAUGUACGGCGUGAAUUUUUUAUGUGGAAGCCAGUAUAGCAACAGUUUAGAUAUGAUUCAGAAAAUUUUCAGCACCCCUGAAGUUUUAAUCAUACCCCCUUUAUUUAGGUCAGCAACCACAGACUAGACACUCCCUGCACCCCUCCCCUUGGGAACUGCCAUGUCUCUUCAUUGUAUUACCAUAGAUUUAUUUCAUCUGUGAUUGAGCUUCAUAUACACAGACUCACACACAUGUACUGUUUCAUGGACCUUCUGUUUGCAAGAGUUACAUGGUGAACAUAAGCCUAGUCUCAUCUUCAUUGUCAUAAGAUGCUACUCUAUGACUAGAGCACAAUUUACCCAUUCUACUGCUGGACAUUUGUAUUAUUUUCAGGUUUGGGCUACUAUGCAUACAGCUGUAGUGAGCAUUAUGGGAUAUGCUUUUUUGAUGGACAUCAACACAUAUGUGAAAUUACUCAGAAAUAAGUUCAUGAACCUGGGCAGCCAAUCUGACAUUAUCUCUUCUGAGUUAACUCAAAGGACAAUUGACUCUCCUUGGGGAAGAAAUGGAACCUAGGAAUGGCAUCUUCUGCUUAGUGGUAACUAGGGUAAUACUUUGGGAAUUAGAAAGCAAUUGCAUAUGUAGAAUCAAUCAAAAACAAUGUUAAAAUAUAAGUAUUGAGAGCAUUCUUAUAUGGUUUAUAAUAUGGUCUUCCUAGAUAUAUACCUAAAAAUAUUGAAAGUAUAUAUUCACCAAAAGGCUCUUACAAAAAUUUCAUAGCAACUUUAGUUACAAUAGCUCUACACCAGAAUCAACUCAAGUAUCCAUCCAUGGAACAAGGGAUAAAUGAACUGUGAUAUAUUCAUAAAAUAAAAUGCACAACAAUAAUAGAAAACAAUUGUUUCAUAUAAUAACAUGGAUGAGUUUCAUAGACAAAAUGUUAAGCAAAAGAGUAUAUUUUUCUAUUAAUAUGAAAUUCAAGAACAGAUUAGUCAGUAGAAGUCAUAGUAGUGAUUAUGAGGGGCUGGUAUUGACUGGAAAGGGACAUGAGGAGGCUUUCUGGAAUCUUCUUUGUCUUGACCUGAGUGAUAGUUAAAUGGAUGGAUGAAUAGUGUAAAUUAAUUACACUUUAGAUUGGUGUGCUAUACUGUAUAUAUUUUAAAUUUCAAUAAAACUUGAGUGGUAUGAGGUAAUAAUAUAAAAAAACUCAAGUGGUAAUUGUUGUCAAGGAUGUCAAGAAAAGGAAACCCAUGUAUACUGUUGGUGGGAAUAUAAACUAGUACAGCCAUUAUGGAAAAAAUUACAGAGGUUCCUCAAAACAUUGGAAAUAUAACUACCAUAUGAUCCAGCAAUCCCACUUCUAGGUAUAUAUCCAGAGGAAAUGAAAUCAACAUCUCAAACAUAACUACGCUUUCCCACUUACUGGCCCAUUAUUCAUAAUAGCCAAGAUAUGGAAACAGCCCAAGCAUUCAUCAACAGAAGAAUGGAUAUAGAAAAUUGGGGGGGGGGGAUGAGAUGGAAUAGUAUUAAAGCCUUUAAAAGAAGUAAUUCCUGACAUUUGUGAUAAACUAGAGGACCAUAUGUUAAGUGAAAGCUAGGCAACAAAAGACAAAUCCUGAUUGCAAAAUCUCAUUUAAUAUGUAGAAUCUUAAAAAAGGCAAACUUGUGGAAACAGAGAGUAGAAUGGUGGAAGCCAGGGGCUGGGAAUUUUGGUUAAAGGGUACAAAUUUUCAGUUAUAAGAUUAAUAAGUUCUGAAGAUCUAAUAUACUGCAUGGUAAUUAUACUUAAUGUGUACUUAAAAUUUGCUAAGAGAGUAGAUCUUAGUGUUCUGUAACUAGGUGAGGUGAUGGACAUGGUAAUUAGCUUGAUUGUGGUAAUUGUUUCACGAUGCAUACAGAUAUCAAAACAGCACAUUGUACACCGUAAAUAUAUACAGAUUUUAUUGUCAGUUAUACCUCAUUAAGCUGGAGAGG
This is a long non-coding RNA of Heterocephalus glaber (naked mole-rat), 1984 nucleotides long. NCBI's taxonomy places the organism in Eukaryota, Metazoa, Chordata, Mammalia, Rodentia, Bathyergidae. The record is from Ensembl.